AUAUGAGAGUUUGAUCCUGGCUCAGGACGAACGCUGGCGGCGUGCCUAAUACAUGCAAGUAGGACGCACAGUUUAUACCGUAGCUUGCUACACCAUAGACUGUGAGUUGCGAACGGGUGAGUAACGCGUAGGUAACCUACCUAUUAGAGGGGGAUAACUAUUGGAAACGAUAGCUAAUACCGCAUAACAGUAUGUAACACAUGUUAGAUGCUUGAAAGAUGCAAUUGCAUCGCUAGUAGAUGGACCUGCGUUGUAUUAGCUAGUAGGUAGGGUAAUGGCCUACCUAGGCAACGAUACAUAGCCGACCUGAGAGGGUGAUCGGCCACACUGGGACUGAGACACGGCCCAGACUCCUACGGGAGGCAGCAGUAGGGAAUCUUCGGCAAUGGGGG
This 392-nucleotide ribosomal RNA is filed under the name Streptococcus sp. HMSC073A12. RNAcentral's name for it is "bacterial SSU rRNA". It matches the Rfam family "Bacterial small subunit ribosomal RNA", at positions 1 to 377 of the family's 1533-position model. Lineage: Bacteria; Bacillati; Bacillota; Bacilli; Lactobacillales; Streptococcaceae. The record is from RNAcentral.